This 31-nucleotide non-coding RNA is filed under the name Mus musculus (house mouse). Lineage: Eukaryota; Metazoa; Chordata; Mammalia; Rodentia; Muridae. The record is from RNAcentral.
UGAGACUGUAUACUUUUGUUCAUUCUUUGGA